CACUAUCGUUAACUGAAUACAUAGGUUAACGAGGCGAACCGGGGGAACUGAAACAUCUAAGUACCCCGAGGAAAAGAAAUCAACCGAGAUUCCCCCAGUAGCGGCGAGCGAACGGGGAGCAGCCCAGAGUCUGAAUCAGCGUGUGUGUUAGUGGAAGCGUCUGGAAAGUCGCACGAUACAGGGUGAAAGUCCCGUACACGAAAAUGCACAUGCUGUGAACUCGAAGAGUAGGGCGGGACACGUGGUAUCCUGUCUGAAUAUGGGGGGACCAUCCUCCAAGGCUAAAUACUCCUGACUGACCGAUAGUGAACCAGUAC
Molecule: ribosomal RNA, 317 nt
Filed under: Pluralibacter gergoviae
Lineage: Bacteria; Pseudomonadati; Pseudomonadota; Gammaproteobacteria; Enterobacterales; Enterobacteriaceae
Description: bacterial LSU rRNA
Rfam family: Bacterial large subunit ribosomal RNA
Source: RNAcentral